This 1024-nucleotide unclassified non-coding RNA is filed under the name uncultured SAR324 cluster bacterium. Its description in RNAcentral is "partial contains 16S ribosomal RNA, 16S-23S ribosomal RNA intergenic spacer, and 23S ribosomal RNA". The stretch from base 1 to 370 matches the Rfam family "Bacterial small subunit ribosomal RNA", at positions 1225 to 1533 of the family's 1533-position model. The record is from RNAcentral. Lineage: Bacteria; Deltaproteobacteria.
UUACAAUGGGAGUUACAGAGGGAAGCUAAACCGCGAGGUCAUGCCAAUCCCAGAAAACUUUCUCAGUUCGGAUCGCAGUCUGCAACUCGACUGCGUGAAGCUGGAAUCGCUAGUAAUCGCGGAUCAGCACGCCGCGGUGAAUACGUUCCCGGGCCUUGUACACACCGCCCGUCACACCAUGGGAGCCGACAAGGGCAGAAGUCGCCGAGCUAACCCAGCACCUUUUUUGGGUAUGGAGCAUGAGAAUAUUAUUCAGAUAUUCGUGCCCAAAAAUGGUGCUGGGAGGCAGGCGCCCAAGCUGUUGUUGACGACUGGGGUGAAGUCGUAACAAGGUAGCCGUAGGAGAACCUGCGGCUGGAUCACCUCCUUUCUAAGGACGCCGGAGAUGCUUUAUGCUUAUCUCCGGAUAGUCAAAGUCGAAACAGACUCUCUUCUCUUCUCUCCCUUUUCUCCUGUAAAUGCUAAGUUAUGAAUUUAGAGCAACGGAGAAAUUAAAUUCGUUACUGUGGACUCCUAAUUUCAAGAGGGGCCUGUAGCUCAGCUUGGUUAGAGCGCAUCCCUGAUAAGGAUGAGGCCGGUGGUUCAAGUCCACCCAGGCCCACCAGCUCAUUUUUGAUUUAGAUAUGGAUUUGGAUUUAGCGGCUAUGAUGGUGGCAAAUCUGAGGUCUGGUAAUCCAAAUCAGAUAUUAAAGAUCGGGGGAUUAGCUCAGCUGGUAGAGCGCCUGCUUUGCAAGCAGGAGGUCAGCGGUUCGACCCCGCUAUCCUCCACCAAAUUAAGGUACAGUAAAAAAAGGUGGUGCAGCUUAAGCAGAAGAUAAGCUUCAGCAAUUAUUUAAUAAUUUCUGAAUUUUAUUUUUUAAUUUCUUAGACAAUUAAAUCGGAGGUUUUGGAGACACAAGAUCAAAUGUGAGGGUCUCCAAGGGUUGACGAUCUUGACUGUUAAAGUCAGGUAGUAAGGGCGCAGGGCGGAUGCCUUGGCUCUGGGAAGCGAAGAAGGACGUGGCCAGCUGCGAUAAGCCUCGGG